AAUUCAGGCAACCAGCAAGAAACUAAACUUGAUGUUGUUCUUGGCUCAGUAUUUGGAACCUUAGCCUUCAUUUCCGGAUUUUUGGUUGCACUGGUUGCAUAUAGAAAGUGCAGCAAGAAACACAAGGUGGGAUCUAAGGAAAAAAGCGCCAACCUGUGUAUUGAAAGUAACGGCCUCCCAAGGGUAUUCAUCAUUGACAAAGAUGGACGUUUCAAAACAGCUUAAUCAAAAGCGAACUUUGACAAUAUGUUAUUCUUAUAUAACGAUAACAACAGAUUUGUAUACACGUGCAGCGCUUUAUUACAAAGUCUCCACACCUAUUACUUGUCUCUUUUACAUGAAUUAAUAUUGACUCUAACAAAUGUUCCUCAACAAAUAAUAAAAAGUGUAAUCACCUUGUUUACGUUGUAUACAUAAUGAUUAAUGACCUAUUGGAAAAUAUAAAUAUUGCAAGAAGCUCACAUAUAUUUAAAUGUAUUGACUACCAAACAAUUCCGAAGCAUCAAUCGUAUCAUGUGCACUUAUAUUCCGUUAUCAAUAAAACAAGUUUGUUUGA
Molecule: long non-coding RNA, 556 nt
Organism: Dreissena polymorpha
Lineage: Eukaryota; Metazoa; Mollusca; Bivalvia; Myida; Dreissenidae
Exons: 2
Source: RefSeq, a predicted model, not a curated record